RNAcentral lists this ribosomal RNA (468 nucleotides) under Blastocystis sp. subtype 24. RNAcentral's name for it is "SSU rRNA". It matches the Rfam family "Eukaryotic small subunit ribosomal RNA", at positions 460 to 942 of the family's 1831-position model. Lineage: Eukaryota; Bigyra; Opalinata; Blastocystidae. The record is from RNAcentral.
GGAGGUAGUGACAAUAAAUCACAAUGCGGGACUAUUAGUUUUGCAAUUGGAUUGAGAACAAUGUAAAAGAGUUAUCGAUAAACAAUUGGAGGGCAAGUCUGGUGCCAGCAGCCGCGGUAAUUCCAGCUCCAAUAGCGUAUAUUAACGUUGUUGCAGUUAAAAAGCUCGUAGUUGAAGUGUGGGGUGAAAAAAUUGGUAAUCUUUUUGAUUGCUUAUUUGCUCACCCCCUCUCCAAUUUGUUAUUAUGGGUAUUAAUUUACUUGUAAUAGCUGUUGGUCAUUUACUGUGAGAAAAUUAGAGUGUUCAAAGCAGGCAUUUGCUUGAAUAUAUUAGCAUGGAAUAAUAGUAAAAGGCUUUUGUGGUCGAUUUAAUUGGUUUGUUCAUAAAAGCAAGAUUAAUAGGGACAGUUGGGGGUAUUCAUAUUCAAUAGUUAGAGGUGAAAUUCUCGGAUUUAUGGAAGAUGAACAA